GGUUGAUUAAAUAAUCAAGACCGGUUAAGACAAGACUUUUGAAGACCUCGGACGCAAUGCAACUCUGAGUGAAGGACGGUUGAUCGGCUCCCUGGAGAAACCAGUGGAUGACCCGGGAUGCUGGGGACGGCCAUGACAUCCUACGGAAAGCUUCACCCAGGCUCAAAGAGACGGACGGAUAUUUUCAAGACCCAAGGCUUACCUGCACAGCCACAAGUCAUUAUGGGCUCUGGCUUGGUUGGACAACGCGGCGACUCUGGACAGGCGGUGCUAGCA
RNAcentral lists this long non-coding RNA (276 nucleotides) under Hordeum vulgare. RNAcentral describes it as "long non-coding RNA (HVUL_LNC004693)". Lineage: Eukaryota; Viridiplantae; Streptophyta; Magnoliopsida; Poales; Poaceae. The record is from RNAcentral.